UGCGAUCACCCAUGCGACGCCGCACUCCCCAAAAGCUAGACCAAGCGCAUCGACCACCAUAAAUCGGUGAAUCUAUCCUAUUCCAACCAACGCCGAACCAGCCGUAGAAGACCCAACAACCUGGAAACUGAAACACCUGUCACACUCGUCCCUUUAUCUUUGACCGAUGGCUUCACAAGGCUCUAACAACACCCAAACAAACCCCGGCCACCGCUCUCACUCCGAAAGCCACAUGCGACCGCGGAAAAGGAAGUGACCCUCUAACCCCCAGCGGCAGACGACCAACGAAAGGGGCUGCCGAAGGAGUUGGCGUGGAGUGUUGGAGAUGGCUUGGGACUGAUUGGUGGUGACAGGACAUGACGGUGGCGUGGAGUGUUGAGAUGAUUUUGGCAGCAGCUAUGGUGUGAGCGGCUGGUUUUGUUUGGGUUUGAAAAUAAUGGUAAAAAAAUGGUGAUUAUAAUAGGGUUGUACAAUUAUCAUAAACACAUGUAGCUUAACUUAGAGAUUGUUAGAUUAAAAUAUGCAAUUGUAAGCACAUAUGUAUAAUGUUAAUCUUAUUAUAAGGUAUGAUAUAAAAUUAAGUGAUAAAUUAUAUUACAGG
Hibiscus syriacus is the source of this 601-nucleotide long non-coding RNA. RefSeq lists it as uncharacterized. The record is from RefSeq and is a predicted model, not a curated record. The transcript has 2 exons. NCBI's taxonomy places the organism in Eukaryota, Viridiplantae, Streptophyta, Magnoliopsida, Malvales, Malvaceae.